Tetranychus urticae (two-spotted spider mite) is the source of this 1807-nucleotide long non-coding RNA. RefSeq lists it as uncharacterized. NCBI's taxonomy places the organism in Eukaryota, Metazoa, Arthropoda, Arachnida, Trombidiformes, Tetranychidae. The record is from RefSeq and is a predicted model, not a curated record.
AAUUUAUGGAUGACCCCUCAACUCUUACUAAUCCUUCUUUGUUUAACCGUUUUUUUCAUUGUUUCAAAUUUUAAUUUUUUACUGUUAACUAAUUUUGUUUUAAUCAACAUGAAACAGGACUCAAUUCAGUUACUGGACAGUUAACUCAAUGGCUAACAUCACUUGGACCCUCGUUUUGAAAAAAGUUACUCUAGUUCAAGUUGGAUAAACGACUAACAUGUAAGCUGCUAAUGCUUACCCAAUAGGCUGGAGCCUUUUGCUUUUCACUAAUCACCUUUAACAUUUACCAUGCCUUAUGGUUAAAUAUGUUUAUUAUAAUACAUUUGUUCAUCAGCUAAUCGCUCAAGAUUGACCUCACUUGUGGUCUCUACAGAAAGCUAAUGGCACAGUUAAUGAGGCUUACUAGUUUUUAGUGGUAAAGAUAUUGGAUUUGUUUUUCAACCUUUAACACCAUAAUCUUCAUAGUCAGUGUCAAAGAAUCAUCUGUUAAUCCCACUACUGUCAUGGGGUUUGUAAUCACUUUUGGCUUGGAUUAUUCUGGCCCCACCUCAACAUCUUACCAUUCACUGAAAUUUCAAGAUUUUCUGUUGAACUUUUUUGUCAAGUUUAACAACCUAUAUCUGUAGUAUGCGUAAAUGAACGAGAUAAAGAGGGAGAAAUGAUGAAAUCAAAUAUAAAAUGAUUUACCAUGAAAAGAUAGAGAAACUAGCAGCCUUGCAGUGACAAAAUUUGUAUUGCUACUAUUUAAGCUAUUAAAAUAUGUUAAUAUCUUAUAUUGUAGCGGUUAAAAUAUUCAGUUAAAUUAAUAAAAGAAACAUUAAGAUGAUCAUUUUUGAUGUUGAAAAUCACGAUAUUUUGGUGAAUGGUAAGGUUUACUAUUAAACUGUCACGAAUACUGUUAACUGUUUUUAUUAUCAAUAUAAAUAUUUCAUUGGAAAAAGGAGACAAGAAUUGAGCGAUUUUGGCUGUUGAUAAAGUUAUUGGUUUUUUAAUAAACUGUAAAAUGUCAAAUAUAAGUGACCAACAACAAUUUGUGAACAUUUUUCUUGGCAGAAGAAGACAUUGACCAGUUUAUUUUAAAAUAUGCUUUUGGUGACCUCAAAUUAAGGAGACAAAAAACUGGUGACCAGCAAUUUCGGGAAUUUCAAGAAUGCUUAACCAAAGUAUUUUGGUAACAUAUCGUUUAUCCUGUGGAUGGUUUUAUGAGAAUUGAUGAAAACUAUUAUGAUAAACUGUUUGCUUAAUGUGUGUUUUAAUCAUUGGCUUUAUAUAGAAUUUUUGAGAAGAAGAAAUGAAAAAGUAAAAAAGACUUUGGCCAAAUCUUCAAAUUGCUUUUUUACUCUUCACCUAGCUAUUGGUCAGUUGAGAUGAAAAGUGCAAUAUGAAAAAAAUCAUAUUGACACAGAAUUGAGAUUAAUCAAAAGAUGGUUUUUAUUGAGAGUUAUGAUCAAUAUAGGAUGUUUAGGUUGAGUGAUGAUAACAAAAGAUGAUGAUGAUGAUAAUGAUGAGAUGUUCAUAAUGGAUAGAAACUGUUGAUGAUAGAGAUAAUAAGAAAGCAAAGUGAUGAAACCCUUGAGAUGAGCAAAAAAAGAAGCAAAGAAAAGGCUAAAUGUUAAGACUUUUAUUCUGUUCACUUCAGAAUUUCCAAGUUUUUUGUUCAUGAUUCUUGUUGUUUUUGUUUUUUUAUUUUGUUGCGCUGUUGCCUCUUUUGUUCAUUGUGAUUACAGUAUAAAAUGAAUGAAAAUAAUGAUGGAUAAAAUAUUAGUAAAGGUAACAAAUUAUCUAGAAGUAAAAGUGAAUCCCAUGA